GGUAAUAGCUCAGUGGUAGAGCGUGUGCUUAGCAUGCUUGAGGUCCUGAGUUCAAUCCCCAGUACCA
RNAcentral lists this transfer RNA (67 nucleotides) under Camelus bactrianus (Bactrian camel). It matches the Rfam family "tRNA". Rfam says of the family: Transfer RNA (tRNA) molecules are approximately 80 nucleotides in length. The record is from Rfam by way of RNAcentral. RNAcentral also lists the same sequence under 2 other names. Lineage: Eukaryota; Metazoa; Chordata; Mammalia; Artiodactyla; Camelidae.